This is a long non-coding RNA of Haliotis rufescens (red abalone), 374 nucleotides long. RefSeq lists it as uncharacterized. The transcript is spliced from 2 exons. The record is from RefSeq and is a predicted model, not a curated record. Lineage: Eukaryota; Metazoa; Mollusca; Gastropoda; Lepetellida; Haliotidae.
AGGCUACAGGAGAUGGUACUGAUGGUGCUUAGAGUAAGAAGACAGGUAUUGUUAACUUAGUAAGAAGAUGGGUGUUUGUGAUGUUUCCUAAGAGUAAGAAGAUGGGUGUUGGUGAUGUUCUCAAGAAUAAGAAGAUAGGUAUUGCUAACUUAGUAAGGAGAUUGGUGUUGGUGGUGCUCUUAAGAGAAAGGAAAUGGCUGUUGGUGAUGCUCUUAAGAGUAAAGAAAUGGCUGUUGGUGGUGCUCUUAAGAGUAAGGAAAUUGCUGUUGGUGAUGCUCUUAAGAGUAAGAAAAUGGCUGUUGGUGAUGCUCUUAAGAGUAAGGAAAUGGAUGUUGGUGGUGCUCUUAAGAGUAAGGAAAUUGCUGUUGGUGGUG